CCUACGGGAGGCAGCAGUGGGGGAUAUUGCACAAUGGGGGGAACCCUGAUGCAGCGACGCCGCGUGGGUGAAGAAGCGCCUCGGCGCGUAAAGCUCUGUCAGCAGGGACGAAAAUGACGGUACCUGAAGAAGAAGCCCCGGCUAACUACGGGCCAGCAGCAGCGGUAAUACGUCGGGGGCAAGCGUUAUCCGGAUUUACUGGGUGGAAAGGGGGCGCAGAGGGCGAUGCAAGCCAGGAGAGAAAGCCAGGGGCCCAACCCCGGGACUGCUCUUGGUACUGCGUGGCUGGAGUGCAGGAGGGGCAGGCGGAAUUCCUGGUGUAGCGGUGAAAUGCGUAGAUAUCAGGAGGAACACCGGUGGCGAAGGCGGCCUGCUGGACUGCAACUGACGUUGAGGCCCGAAAGCGUGGGGAGCAAACAGGAUUAGAUACCCUAGUAGUC
Molecule: ribosomal RNA, 440 nt
Filed under: uncultured bacterium
Lineage: Bacteria
Description: partial 16S ribosomal RNA
Rfam family: Bacterial small subunit ribosomal RNA
Source: RNAcentral